Schistosoma haematobium is the source of this 45-nucleotide non-coding RNA. NCBI's taxonomy places the organism in Eukaryota, Metazoa, Platyhelminthes, Trematoda, Strigeidida, Schistosomatidae. The record is from Rfam.
GUCUAGCUGACGAGUUCCAAACAGGACGAAACGCGCGUCCUGGAU